CCACUUCGCCAUUUUCCUCCGGAAGUGCGGAUCCCAGCGGCGGUCGUGUAGCUGAGCAGGCCUGGGGCUUGGUUCUAUGUCCCUGUAGUGUCCUCUGGGUGUUUCCAAGAGCAACAAGAAACGAAUAAAUCUCUGCCCCGCAGCGCCUCCACCCCAGAGACCCGGACCAAGUUCACACAGGACAAUCUGUGCCACGCCCAGCGCGAGCGCCUGGACUCGGCCAACCUGUGGGUGCUGGUGGACUGCAUCCUUCGCGACACCUCCGAGGACCUGGGACUCCAGUGUGACGCCGUGAACCUGGCCUUCGGGCGCCGCUGUGAGGAACUGGAGGACGCGCGGCACAAGCUGCAGCACCACCUGCACAAGGCCCAAGGGGCACUGUCCUGUCUGCAGAUGCUGCGGGAAAUCACAGAUCAGGAACACAACGUGGUGGCACUGAAGGAGGCCAUCAAGGACAAGGAGGAACCUCUGCACAUAGCCCAGACCCGGCUGUAGUUGCUCUCACACCGGCCCAACAUGCAGCUGUGCCGCGAUGCAGCCCAGUUCAGCCCCAGCUCACACCCCCCAACACCCCCAAGCUGGUGAGUGAGGUGGAGGAGCUGUACAAGUCCAUCACAGCGCUGCGGGAGAAGCUUCUACAAGCGGAGCAGUCCCUGCGCAACCUCAAGGACAUCCACAUGAGCCUGGAGAAGGACGUCACUGCCAUGACCAACAGUCUCUUCAUCGACCGCCAGAAGUGCAUGGCCCAUCGUACUUGCUACCCCACCAUUCUGCAGCUGGCUGGCUACCAGUGAGCAGCGGCACGGUGCUUCCCCCCAAUCCCCCAAAUAAACAGUGCGUUAGCUU
Molecule: long non-coding RNA, 846 nt
Organism: Homo sapiens (human)
Lineage: Eukaryota; Metazoa; Chordata; Mammalia; Primates; Hominidae
Gene: TEKT4P2
Product: tektin 4 pseudogene 2
Source: Ensembl